GAUGAACGCUGGCGGCGUGCCUAAUACAUGCAAGUCGAGCGAAUGGAUUAAGAGCUUGCUCUUAUGAAGUUAGCGGCGGACGGGUGAGUAACACGUGAGUAACCUGCCCAUAAGACUGGGAUAACUCCGGGAAACCGGGGCUAAUACCGGAUAACAUUUUGAACCGCAUGGUUCGAAAUUGAAAGGCGGCUUCGGCUGUCACUUAUGGAUGGACCCGCGUCGCAUUAGCUAGUUGGUGAGGCAACGGCUCACCAAGGCAACGAUGCGUAGCCGACCUGAGAGGGUGAUCGGCCGCACUGGGACUGAGACACGGCCCAGACUCCUACGGGAGGCGGCAGUAGGGAAUCUUCCGCAAUGGACGAAAGUCUGACGGAGCAACGCCGCGUGAGUGAUGAAGGCUUUCGGGUCGUAAAACUCUGUUGUUAGGGAAGAACAAGUGCUAGUUGAAUAAGCUGGCACCUUGACGGUACCUAACCAGAAAGCCACGGCUAACUACGUGCCAGCCGCCGCGGUAA
This 515-nucleotide ribosomal RNA is filed under the name uncultured bacterium. RNAcentral's name for it is "partial 16S ribosomal RNA". It matches the Rfam family "Bacterial small subunit ribosomal RNA", at positions 28 to 523 of the family's 1533-position model. The record is from RNAcentral.